GCGCCUGAAUGGAGGCUAAACUACGAAUCUGGGGGUCAGAGGUUCGAAUCCUUUCGGGCGCGCCA
Molecule: transfer RNA, 65 nt
Filed under: Methylobacterium sp. Leaf125
Lineage: Bacteria; Pseudomonadati; Pseudomonadota; Alphaproteobacteria; Hyphomicrobiales; Methylobacteriaceae
Description: tRNA-Ser
Rfam family: tRNA
About the family: Transfer RNA (tRNA) molecules are approximately 80 nucleotides in length. Their secondary structure includes four short double-helical elements and three loops (D, anti-codon, and T loops).
Source: RNAcentral